Molecule: ribosomal RNA, 477 nt
Filed under: Candidatus Scalindua brodae
Lineage: Bacteria; Pseudomonadati; Planctomycetota; Candidatus Brocadiia; Candidatus Brocadiales; Candidatus Scalinduaceae
Description: bacterial SSU rRNA
Rfam family: Bacterial small subunit ribosomal RNA
Source: RNAcentral
UUCGCAAUGCCCGAAAGGGUGACGAAGCGACGCCGCGUGGGUGAGGAAGGCCCUCGGGUUGUAAAGCCCUGUCAGGAGUUAAGAGAUGUAGGCUCGCUAAUAUCGUGUCUAUUUGACAAAGGCUCCAAAGGAAGCCACGGCUAACUCUGUGCCAGCAGCCGCGGUAAUACAGAGGUGGCAAGCGUUGUUCGGAAUUAUUGGGCGUAAAGAGCACGUAGGUGGGUUUGUAAGUCAGAUGUGAAAGCCUUCUGUUCAACGGAAGAAUUGCAUCUGAAACUGCGAGUCUUGAGUGUAGGAGGGGAGAAUGGAACUUCUGGUGGAGCGGUGAAAUGCGUAGAUAUCAGAAGGAACGCCGGCGGCGAAAGCGAUUCUCUGGCCUAUUACUGACACUCAGUGUGCGAAAGCUAGGGGAGCAAACGGGAUUAGAUACCCCGGUAGUCCUAGCCGUAAACGAUGGGCACUAAGUAGAGGGGUUUU